GGAAGUAAAAGUCGUAAACAAGGUCUCCGUUGGUGAACCAGCGGAGGGAUCAUUACCGAGUUAUACAACUCAUCAACCCUGUGAACAUACCUAAAACGUUGCUUCGGCGGGAACAGACGGCCCUGUAACAACGGGCCGCCCCCGCCAGAGGACCCCUAACUCUGUUUUUAUAAUGUUUUUCUGAGUAAACAAGCAAAUAAAUUAAAACUUUCAACAACGGAUCUCUUGGCUCUGGCAUCGAUGAAGAACGCAGCGAAAUGCGAUAAGUAAUGUGAAUUGCAGAAUUCAGUGAAUCAUCGAAUCUUUGAACGCACAUUGCGCCCGCCAGUAUUCUGGCGGGCAUGCCUGUUCGAGCGUCAUUGCAACCCUCAGGCCCCCGGGCCUGGCGUUGGGGAUCGGCGGAAGCCCCCUGUGGGCACACGCCGUCCCUCAAAUACAGUGGCGGUCCCGCCGCAGCUUCCAUUGCGUAGUAGCUAACACCUCGCAACUGGAGAGCGGCGCGGCCAUGCCGUAAAACACCCAACUUCUGAAUGUUGACCUCGAAUCAGGUAGGAAUACCCGCUGAACUUAAGCAUAUCAAUAAGCGGAGGAAAAGAAACCAACAGGGAUUGCCUUAGUAACG
Molecule: ribosomal RNA, 622 nt
Filed under: uncultured Ascomycota
Lineage: Eukaryota; Fungi; Ascomycota
Description: partial 18S ribosomal RNA
Rfam family: 5.8S ribosomal RNA (bases 206-359)
Source: RNAcentral